Molecule: ribosomal RNA, 2916 nt
Filed under: Vibrio parahaemolyticus
Lineage: Bacteria; Pseudomonadati; Pseudomonadota; Gammaproteobacteria; Vibrionales; Vibrionaceae
Description: bacterial LSU rRNA
Rfam family: Bacterial large subunit ribosomal RNA
Source: RNAcentral
GUUGUAUGGUUAAGUGACUAAGCGUACACGGUGGAUGCCUUGGCAGUCAGAGGCGAUGAAAGACGUAGUAACUUGCGAUAAGCCCAGAUUAGGUAGUAACAACCAUUUGAGUCUGGGAUUUCUGAAUGGGGAAACCCACGUGCAUAAGCACGUAUCCUUACCUGAAUACAUAGGGUAAGGAGGCGAACCGGGGGAACUGAAACAUCUAAGUACCCCGAGGAAAAGAAAUCAACCGAGAUUCCGAAAGUAGCGGCGAGCGAAAUUGGACUAGCCCUUAAGCUUUACACGCGUUAGACGAACGGUCUGGAAAGUCCGACGAUACAGGGUGAUAGUCCCGUAGUUGACGACGUGUGUUCAGUGAAAUCGAGUAGGGCGGGACACGUGAUAUCCUGUCUGAAUAUGGGGGGACCAUCCUCCAAGGCUAAAUACUACUGACUGACCGAUAGUGAACCAGUACCGUGAGGGAAAGGCGAAAAGAACCCCUGUGAGGGGAGUGAAAUAGAACCUGAAACCGUGUACGUACAAGCAGUAGGAGCAGGCUUUGUCCUGUGACUGCGUACCUUUUGUAUAAUGGGUCAGCGACUUAUAUUCAGUGGCAAGGUUAACCAUCUAGGGGAGCCGUAGGGAAACCGAGUCUUAACUGGGCGUUCAGUCUCUGGAUAUAGACCCGAAACCAGGUGAUCUAGCCAUGGGCAGGUUGAAGGUUGAGUAACAUCAACUGGAGGACCGAACCGACUAAUGUUGAAAAAUUAGCGGAUGACUUGUGGCUAGGGGUGAAAGGCCAAUCAAACCUGGAGAUAGCUGGUUCUCCCCGAAAGCUAUUUAGGUAGCGCCUCGGACGAAUACUACUGGGGGUAGAGCACUGUUAAGGCUAGGGGGUCAUCCCGACUUACCAACCCUUUGCAAACUCCGAAUACCAGUAAGUACUAUCCGGGAGACACACGGCGGGUGCUAACGUCCGUCGUGGAGAGGGAAACAACCCAGACCGCCAGCUAAGGUCCCAAAUUACUACUAAGUGGGAAACGAUGUGGGAAGGCUCAGACAGCCAGGAUGUUGGCUUAGAAGCAGCCAUCAUUUAAAGAAAGCGUAAUAGCUCACUGGUCGAGUCGGCCUGCGCGGAAGAUGUAACGGGGCUAAGUAGUAAACCGAAGCUGCGGCAAUGUGCUUUUGCACAUUGGGUAGGGGAGCGUUCUGUAAGCGGUUGAAGGUGUGUGGUAACGCAUGCUGGACGUAUCAGAAGUGCGAAUGCUGACAUGAGUAACGAUAAAGGGGGUGAAAAACCUCCUCGCCGGAAGACCAAGGGUUCCUGUCCAACGUUAAUCGGGGCAGGGUAAGUCGACCCCUAAGGCGAGGCCGAAAGGCGUAGUCGAUGGGAAACGGGUUAAUAUUCCCGUACUUCUUACAAUUGCGAUGGGGGGACGGAGAAGGCUAGGUGGGCCUGGCGACGGUUGUCCAGGUUCAAGUGCGUAGGCUUAAGAGUUAGGUAAAUCCGGCUCUUUCUAAGGCUGAGACACGACGUCGAGCACCUACGGGUGUGAAGUCAUUGAUGCCAUGCUUCCAGGAAAAGCCUCUAAGCUUCAGAUUGUAAGGAAUCGUACCCCAAACCGACACAGGUGGUCGGGUAGAGAAUACCAAGGCGCUUGAGAGAACUCGGGUGAAGGAACUAGGCAAAAUGGUACCGUAACUUCGGGAGAAGGUACGCUCUCGACGGUGAAGUCCCUUGCGGAUGGAGCUAUUGAGAGUCGCAGAUACCAGGUGGCUGCAACUGUUUAUUAAAAACACAGCACUGUGCAAAAUCGUAAGAUGACGUAUACGGUGUGACGCCUGCCCGGUGCCGGAAGGUUAAUUGAUGGGGUUAGACUUCGGUCGAAGCUCUUGAUCGAAGCCCCGGUAAACGGCGGCCGUAACUAUAACGGUCCUAAGGUAGCGAAAUUCCUUGUCGGGUAAGUUCCGACCUGCACGAAUGGCGUAAUGAUGGCCACGCUGUCUCCACCCGAGACUCAGUGAAAUUGAAAUCGCUGUGAAGAUGCAGUGUACCCGCGGCUAGACGGAAAGACCCCGUGAACCUUUACUACAGCUUGGCACUGAACAUUGACCCUACAUGUGUAGGAUAGGUGGGAGGCUUUGAAGCACGUACGCCAGUAUGUGUGGAGCCGUCCUUGAAAUACCACCCUUGUAGUGUUGAUGUUCUAACGUCGACCCCUAAUCGGGGUUGCGGACAGUGCCUGGUGGGUAGUUUGACUGGGGCGGUCUCCUCCCAAAGAGUAACGGAGGAGCACGAAGGUGGGCUAAUCACGGUUGGACAUCGUGAGGUUAGUGCAAUGGCAUAAGCCCGCUUGACUGCGAGAAUGACAAUUCGAGCAGGUGCGAAAGCAGGUCAUAGUGAUCCGGUGGCUCUGAAUGGAAGGGCCAUCGCUCAACGGAUAAAAGGUACUCCGGGGAUAACAGGCUGAUACCGCCCAAGAGUUCAUAUCGACGGCGGUGUUUGGCACCUCGAUGUCGGCUCAUCACAUCCUGGGGCUGAAGUCGGUCCCAAGGGUAUGGCUGUUCGCCAUUUAAAGUGGUACGCGAGCUGGGUUUAGAACGUCGUGAGACAGUUCGGUCCCUAUCUGCCGUGGGCGUUGGAAGAUUGAAGGGGGCUGCUCCUAGUACGAGAGGACCGGAGUGGACGAACCUCUGGUGUUCGGGUUGUGUCGCCAGACGCAUUGCCCGGUAGCUAAGUUCGGAAUCGAUAACCGCUGAAAGCAUCUAAGCGGGAAGCGAGCCCUGAGAUGAGUCUUCCCUGAUACUUUAAGUAUCCUAAAGGGUUGUCGGAGACUACGACGUUGAUAGGUCAGGUGUGUAAGUGCUGUGAGGCAUUGAGCUAACUGAUACUAAUUGCCCGUGAGGCUUAACCAUACAACACCCAAGGGGUUU